GACGAACGCUGGCGGCGUGCCUAACACAUGCAAGUCGAGCGGAGUCGAUCGACGGAAGCCUUCGGGCGGAAGAUGGUUGACUUAGCGGCGGAUGGGUGAGUAAUGCGUGGGCAACCUGCCUCGAAGACCGGGAUAACAGCCCGAAAGGGCUGCUAAUACCGGAUGUGGUCAAGGAUCCGCAUGGAUUUUUGAUUAAAGGGGAAACCCGUUUCGAGAUGGGCCCGCGUCCUAUCAGCUAGUUGGUGAGGUAAAAGCUCACCAAGGCGACGACGGGUAGCCGGCCUGAGAGGGUGACCGGCCACACUGGAACUGAGACACGGUCCAGACUCCUACGGGGGGCAGCAGUGGGGAAUCUUCCACAAUGGGCGAAAGCCUGAUGGAGCGACGCCGCGUGAGCGAAGAAGGCCUCGGUUGUAAGACUCUGUCUGGAGGGACGGAAGGAAGUGACGGUACCUCCGGAGGAAGCCACGGCUAACUACGUGCCAGCAGCCGCGGUAAGAGUAGUACA
This 508-nucleotide ribosomal RNA is filed under the name uncultured bacterium. RNAcentral's name for it is "bacterial SSU rRNA". It matches the Rfam family "Bacterial small subunit ribosomal RNA", at positions 28 to 536 of the family's 1533-position model. The record is from RNAcentral.